GAUGAACGCGGGCGGCGUGCCUAAUACAUGCAAGUCGAGCGAACAGACGAGGAGCUUGCUUCUCUGACGUUAGCGGCGGACGGGUGAGUAACACGUGGAUAACCUACCUAUAAGACUGGGAUAACUUCGGGAAACCGGAGCUAAUACCGGAUAAUAUAUUGAACCGCAUGGUUCAAUAGUGAAAGACGGUUUUGCUGUCACUUAUAGAUGGAUCCGCGCCGCAUUAGCUAGUUGGUAAGGUAACGGCUUACCAAGGCAACGAUGCGUAGCCGACCUGAGAGGGUGAUCGGCCACACUGGAACUGAGACACGGUCCAGACUCCUACGGGAGGCAGCAGUAGGGAAUCUUCCGCAAUGGGCGAAAGCCUGACGGAGCAACGCCGCGUCAGUGAUGAAGGUCUUCGGAUCGUAAAACUCUGUUAUUAGGGAAGAACAAAUGUGUAAGUAACUAUGCACGUCUUGACGGUACCUAAUCAGAAAGCCACGGCUAACUACGUG
Molecule: ribosomal RNA, 497 nt
Filed under: uncultured bacterium
Lineage: Bacteria
Description: partial 16S ribosomal RNA
Rfam family: Bacterial small subunit ribosomal RNA
Source: RNAcentral